RNAcentral lists this ribosomal RNA (880 nucleotides) under uncultured beta proteobacterium. RNAcentral's name for it is "bacterial SSU rRNA". It matches the Rfam family "Bacterial small subunit ribosomal RNA", at positions 35 to 916 of the family's 1533-position model. Lineage: Bacteria; Pseudomonadati; Pseudomonadota; Betaproteobacteria. The record is from RNAcentral.
GAUGGGGGCAGCUUACCAUGCAGUCGACGGCAGCACGGGGGCAACCCUGGUGGCGAGUGGCGAACGGGUGAGUAAUGCAUCGGAACGCGCCCAGUAGUGGGGGAUAACCCGGCGAAAGCCGGGCUAAUACCGCAUACGACCUAAGGGUGAAAGCGGGGGACCGUAAGGCCUCGCGCUAUUGGAGCGGCCGAUGUCUGAUUAGCUAGUUGGCGGGGUAAAAGCCCACCAAGGCGACGAUCAGUAGCUGGUCUGAGAGGACGACCAGCCACACUGGGACGGAGACACGGCCCAGACUCCUACGGGAGGCAGCAGCGGGGAAUUUUGGACAAUGGGCGCAAGCCUGAUCCAGCCAUGCCGCGUGCGGGAAGAAGGCCUUCGGGUUGUAAACCGCUUUUAGUCGGGAAGAAAAGGCGGGGGCUAAUACCCUCUGUUUUUGACGGUACCGGCGGAAUAAGCACCGGCUAACUACGUGCCAGCAGCCGCGGUAAUACGUAGGGUGCGAGCGUUAAUCGGAAUUACUGGGCGUAAAGCGUGCGCAGGCGGUUCGUCAAGUCUGAUGUGAAAGCCCCGGGCUCAACCUGGGAAUGGCAUGGGAAACUGACGGGCUGGAGUAUGGCAGAGGGGGGUGGAAUUCCGCGUGUAGCAGUGAAAUGCGUAGAGAUGCGGAGGAACACCGAUGGCGAAGGCAGCCCCCUGGGCCAAUACUGACGCUCAGGCACGAAAGCGUGGGGAGCAAACAGGAUUAGAUACCCUGGUAGUCCACGCCCUAAACGAUGUCGACUGGGUGUUGGGAGAGAGAUCUCUUGGUACCGUAGCUAACGCGUGAAGUCGACCGCCUGGGGAGUACGGCCGCAAGGUUAAAACUCAAAGGAAUUGACGG